GUUUACUGCCUCAUCAGAAAGCCUCAAGCUUUAAAAUAUGUGGAGUACAAGAGAAAAGAUUAUUGUUAACAGGCAAUCUUGGUUAGAGAUUUCAGGGCAGAAUAGAAAAUUGUAGUGGACCUGAACAUUCUACUUUACUGAAUCAGAACAAUACAGUACAGUAUUCCAAAUAUGAGAACUAAAUUGUGAGUAAAUGUGAUCUUUAGUCUUCCCAGUUAAAAAGUGAACAAACUCUUUUUCAUUGAGCCUUGAAGCAUUUGAUUAAUUUUUCUCUGUUCAUCUUUCCGUGCUGGGUUGCGUUCCAUGGUUGAAUUUAGGGCCAAAAGGAAAGUGUUAAGAUCUAGUUCCUGUUAUAUUUCCAGGCUAAUAGAAAACAGGCACCAUCAUAAAUUGUGUUGUAACUGUUCUUCUGCUAUUUUUUUUAGCCUGCAACAGAAUCUUGUGGUUCUUAUCAAGAUGAAGUGUCUGAAACUACAUUUGGAUAGCUUUUUAAAAUGUAGGAGUUAUUAAAAAAUAAUAAUCAAAAAUCCCCCAAAGAAUGUAGCCUUUUUAUACAACUGUCUGACCACACACUCUUGAAUCUCAAUAAUGGCUAGACAAAAAGGAAACCAUGCUAGUUCAUGCAUCUGUGGUGUGCAGAAAAUGUACGAAUCUGCUAUGCAUUAUUAAGGAAUGCAUAUUUUGGAAUGUCCAUGUGGACUAAAAGACCAGGACCCGCUUCUGAGGUGUGAUAAUAGAGUCUUAAUCAUUGGCAAUUCAAGCUGUACACAUGAAGGUCAGUGCCAUACAUGGUCACAAGAACAUGGCUGGAAUGUACCACCCUGCUUUCAUUUCCAUGCCUAAGGGGCCAAAUGUGGUAGAAAAUAUAAUAUUCAGUGGAACACAUUAGAAUAAACCUAUGCUGUUAAGUCAUGGCUUUUGGGUGAAGCAUGGCUGAGCUUUAGCCCAAUAUUCUGAGUGCUGGGGAGGGGGAAUUCCUGAGCACAUAUUUUCUCUUAUCUUCUGUGGGUGCCAUGAACUAUAAACUCUGGGCAAAUGUGUAGCCAAAAGCAUAAAGAAGCCAAAAAGACAGGCAGAGAGAGCGUGUUGGGGCUUGUCCAGCAGCUGCAAUCCCCUCACCUCACACAUUAACUGAACAUGUGAGGGGAUGCUGUUACAAGCUCUUCUGUCAUCUCCAACCUUAGUUGCAUGCAAGUGCUUAAUUGUGAAAACUAUAGAUAAGUUUUAUCUGCUACAUAAUGCAUGCAAUUAAACUCUGCAAAUCAAUGGCAUUUGUCCUGAUCUUGAUACAUUUGCAGGAAGGAGCCUGGCACAGUCAUGUCAUCCACCCAAGCAUAUAGGCGACACUUAUUGGUCAAAUUAGGCUGAAAUUGAUUUCUAUCUCUAGAUUCAAAUCAGAGAGUAGUAUUCUGAGAGCCGGCGUGGGUGGGAGUAGAUGAGAAAUGAAGGGUUUGACAUUUGACAAGUUUUAAAAUUUUAUUUUGGUUUCAGUUGUGUGUUUAAAUUACUGUAACCAGCUUCGAGCCUCUGGGACUCGUGGGAUAAACAUCCAAAUGACUGAAUAGCAUUCUAAGGAGUCUUCUUAGGGGAUCUUUAUCUGUUUACAGUUUGGCUGUAACAUAAGUGUUUGCAGUUUGUCGUGUACUGAAAUGAGUGGACUGUGACGGAGAUCCCAGGAUCACUAUAGAGAUUUGUGAUAUUUACUUCUCACACUAUAGCAGAAGCAGAGAAAGAACACAUUUUCCUUUCAUUGUGUGGGAUAAACCCACUCUUAGGCUUGCCAGAUUUAAGUGUCGAGCUCAACAAUACUGUGAGCAAUAUUUCAAUUUCAUUGUUCUGCAUGGGACAAUGACAAUAAAGAUAUCGUAUAUCGUAUAUCGUGAGCCCAGGCAAUAUAGGUAAAUGGAUACUGUCAGGUUUACGAUCGGCUAAUACAUGCCAGAUUCAGAUCAAUUUCAGAUUGUAGGUUUAAGGUGUAAUGUUGGAUUGUUCUUUGAUAGGCCGAGGGCUAGAUUCUGUGACUUCAAAGUACAUGAACAGCACAAACCAGGAUAAUUCUACAAUGAUGCCAAGGGGUGUGUGUGUUACAUCUUGGGGAGGGGGAGGGGUGCAGAACCAAAACACCACAUGACAGAAUAAAACUUUGACUCUCUUCUAAGUCAACCAGCAUAUGGUUAUUGAAAGGGCUAUGAAGUGAUUCUGGAAGCUUCCAUGUAUUAUAUAAAUGAAGCUGUUUACAUUUGGACUGAACCAGAAAUUCCCUCAGUGACCUCUAGCAAGUGUCUUGUCCUUACUGUUUCUCAAUCAACACAGCUGGAAAACUCCACAGAGAAAACCCCCACAUUUCAAUGAGAACCAGAUGCCAUUAAAAAGUUCAGAUUUUUCUGAGAAAUACAUUCCAGAAUAUACUCCUAAUGGAAGCAGAGGGGGGGAGCAACUUCCAAGUGGGAUUUAAAUAUGAUUUUACAGUUUCAUGCAUUUAAAUCUGGUGAUAAUGUUUUGAUUUCUAAAGACAGUUGAUUAGAAUAUCAGUUUGGCUUAGUGGUUUCAAUAUAGCUAGAGAUUAAUAUAGCUGAUCUCUCUCUCUCACACACACUUGUGAUUCUUAAUAAUUUUUAGAAUUCAGGGUAUAUGGAUCUUCUUGCCAUAAUAACACGGGAAUCCCCAGUGUGAUCCUUUCCCAUUACCACCAGCAGCAGACUUUGUGUCCCCAAAUUUCAGUGGCGCCCUGUGCAAUGCUAAAAUUGUGCACCAAAAAUUCCUCUCCUGCGGACUCCACCCACAUCAGCUUCUCACGAUGGGCUUUAUUAAAGCAAAAGGGCUAGUUGAACAGCGUCUGAAGGACUUAGAGCAACAGAACAAUCUGGCCAUUAUAAAGAAACUCUGUUCUUGGUAUGCAUCCCCCACCCCAGUUUGAUUUCCUGGCACCAUAUUUGUAUAAAUUAACUAUCCCAAAAUACAGACAUGCCUUCACACUGGCCAGAUUGGAUGUGAUGCCCUCUGCCGUACUUGAGGGCAGAUGCCAAAAGAUUCCAACUGGGAAACGACUGCCCCUGUGGAGAUGGCAAUCUGGAAACAGUGGCUCAUGUUCUCCUGUCCUGUCCCCUUUAUAAAGACCUGAGGAAUGAGAUCAUCACCCCACUCCUACUCACCAUCCCAGGCCACCCAUCUGCAGUUAUAUUGUUCUUUCUGUUAUCAGAUCAAAGUGAUCAGACAACAGCAAAGGUUGCUAGGUUUAUCGAGGGUGCAAUGAGAUUAAGGGCCACUAUCUUGAUCAUUUGAUUGUCCUUUUUAUUCAUUGUUGUCUUUUUAAUUGUAUAUAUUGCUUGUUUUAUGUUGCUAUGGCCGUUGGCUAAGGCAAAUAAAGUUUAUCUAUCUAUCUACAGCACUGUUGUGGUGCCGCCAGCAGCUCAGUGUCUAGUUUUAUCCAAAAACUGCCUCUGCUGCCAACCUUUUUCAUAGAUUGCUUUUAAAACCUCCUAGUAGUAUGACAGUUUUAGGUACACUAUUGACACCUACACUGGAGACAGAAUUAACUGUUAAAUAAGGUUGUUUAUUAAAAUAUUUUGUACUGAAAUACAAGACUGUCUGGACCAAAUAAUUUAACACUUUCUUUGUGCUUUCUCUAUAUUUGAAGUUAAAAUCAAAGCACAGAUAAAUGCAGCUGUAUGAAAGGCAUUUGCAGUGACUGCUAAAUAACCUCUGCAAAUGAUGAGAAGAUGUAAACAGUUGGCCAUCUGCAUCUCCCCGCUCCCCCUUUUUGCACUAAAAAAAGCAAGCUUCUGGAUAAUGGAUGGCUUUCCACAGAUUCUCUCUGAGUGGGAAAAACCUUACAGAUUUAGUAUUUCAGACAAGAGUCUUUGUGUAGAAAAUCUGUGAUAAAAUGCAGCUGUUUAGCUAAAAUAUUUACAGUGUGUCAUCCAUCCCCCCCCAAAAGACUGCAAACUACAUAUGUCAUCCUGUGCAUGUUUACUCAGAAGCUAGUCCCAUUGUAUUCAAUGGGUUGGCUCAUCAGGAAGUGACCUUUGGAUUGGAGCUUUAAUCAACUUAAUUGGUUCAUGGAUCAACAAAUCUUUAAUCACAACAGACUGAAAACCCUCUCCACUUUAUUGGUGGUACCAAGAUUGGAGGGUACACAACCAUGUAGACAUCCUUGCUUCUUCUGUUGUGUGUCAUGCAGAAUGGAAAAAAAUAAAAUUAAAGAUGGCUUUUCUUUCUAAUUCAUAUCUAUCCAAAGCUAGCAGGGACAAACACAAAAGUAAUGAUGUCUACUGAUACGAACGGGAAAUACCAAAGCUGUAUCACCUAUGUAGAAUCAAAUACAUGUACGGGUGGACUGCUCCAGUCUACUUUGAAUGGGGGCAAGGUGGAAGCAGGUUAAUAGUUAAAUGAUGCUCAAAUGUGGACAUCAUUUAAACAUUCACGAUGCUUUGUACAAGUAAUAAGAGCACUGAAUCACAAUGCAUACAUUGCCUUAGAGAUCUGUGCAAUGGACCUGUUUGCUAGGCCUGCGUUACCAUCCUUGCUCUUCUACUGAUGGGAGACAGAGGGACAGUGGGUUGUUUUGAGUUGUGGCCAUCUGGCAAGAACAUUCAUGAGCUGAGAUUUCAAAUGGGGACAAUUUCAACUGGCUCCACACCAGUUCUUAGAAAACAAGUGAGUGACUCAGGGAAAACUGUACUAAGCAUUUAGAGGUGUCUUGGGGAAACAAUGUUAUUCUUUCAAAAUAUGCUUUUUGUCCCACUAAAAAUAAUGAGAUGCCUUGCUUUGGAUAAAAUAAUUAACUUUAUGCAUUUGUUCCAGACGGGGAAUUUGCCAUUUUGGCAUAAUAAAAUAGCUUUUGGCAUUGGCCUGAGCAUUUCCUGUCUUUGGAUAGAGAGGCAGGGGAGAUGAUUUCAAGGGAGGUUAUAGUCUUUUAAAUUCAGUGAGAUUCAGUCAAGAUUGCACUUGGCCUUGUGCAUUUGGCCUUUAUCUGGUUUUAUGAAGGUAUCAUAUUUUAUUCAGCUCCAUAUCACUGAAAUAGGAUUAUGCAAGCAUAAAAGGAACAGGAAGCCCUUUCUUAUUUCUAAUGUACCUGGUAGAAAGAACAAAAAGAUGAAAGUAAUAACAGCUAAUGCAAUUUUCUCUUACAGCCUUAAUGCAAAUGCUCUUUUAGAUGUUGCUUAUCAUACACAGGCAGUGAAAGAGUACAGAAAGCAGGGUGCACAGCUGUUCUCUUCAGUUCCUCUGUUAUGACAUGCUCUUAUGCUCAGAUCACAAGACAAUUGAUGUGAAGGCACUUUUAAUUAUCCCUCCUCCAGCCAUGUGAAUGUGGAAGAGGAGUGAAGGAUGCUAUGAUACACUGAAUGUGCAACACCAAAGACUAAAUUAAUAGGAACUUCGGCAGUUGUCAACCAUUAUAUCUAAAUGAGAACCCUCAUUUUUAGUGGCACUAUGUGCCUCAUUACAAAAUGCUAGGGACAAAAGAACAAGAGAGGACUAUAUCAUUUUCCCCACUGAUCUUUUUAGGGGUGUGUGGCUACCUGCUCUCAGAAAAAAAAUGUUGGAUGACUAGCUGGAGCCUUAGUCUUAACAACAACAACAACAACAACAACAACAACAACAACAACAAUUUAUUUUUUUGUACCCCGCCCAUCUGACUGGGUUGCUCCAGCCACUCUGGGUGGCUUCCACCAGGGUAUACAAAAACACCACCACCAGAACAACAGAAUAAAAUACCACACAUUAAAAACUUCCUGAUACAGGGCUUCCUUCAGAUGUCUACAGAAGGUUGUGAAAUUUUUUAUCUCUUUGACAUCUGAUGGGAGGUUGUUCCAUCGGGCGGGUGCAACUACCAAGAAGGUCUACUGCCUGGUUCCCUGUAAUUUUACUUGUCACAAUGAGGGAACUACCAGAAGGCCCUGGGAGCUAGACCUGGACUGAACAAUGGGGACAGAGAUGCUCCUUCAGGUAUACAGGGCCUUUAAGGCAUUCCUAUUUUCUAAAGAGCAUAGUGAGUAAAUGUCAAUGAAAUGGGGCUAAAUUCACUGCUAGCUCAACUCUCGGUUGAAAUAAAUUCUCUUAUUUAUUUAUUUAUUUAUUUGCCAUCUGUUCGUUUAAAUUUUACCCAGCAUUAUUCCUAGAGAUCCAGAUGAAUGACAUUAUUUUAUAUUAAGCAUGGUCUGAUAGUCUACUGCGCAUAACCUGAUGUAUUAUGUGCAGCUUGUUGGGUGCACAUAGUGCAGGUCUAACCUAGAGAAAUUCCUCUCCCCUAAAGCAAAUGAUCAUAUAUUUGAAGGAUCCUCAACAGUAAGAUAUACUCUUCACAUGACAGAUAGUAACCAAUACACUUUAUUUAGAACAAACUCAAACACACAUUAGGCAUGAGAAAAGCUUGACAGAAAUCUUAUGUUCUCAGCUGCCUCAAGGCCUGGACUGGAAAUCCUCCAGACUCUGGUGAACUGGAACACAUAAAAUGCAGACUGGAUUUCCUCCACAUUACAGAUUUGAUCCAUGAUUUUUUUAACACUUCCAAAUAUGAAGAUUCUACAACAUCUCUAGGCACUUAUUCUCUUUACUUAGUGACUUUUCCUUUGGCUUUAACAUGUCUAAGAGCUUAUCCACACUUCCUCUUGUCCCACUGCUUCCCCCUUGGGGAAAACUGCUCUUUAGCACUCAGUUGGAGCAAACAACAAUUCAGGUUUCCCUCCAGAUUGCCGUUUCUUCUGAUCUAUCACUAAAUAGUGGGUUUUCCCUUGAAAAGGAAUGGGGCAAGGGGAAACCGCUCUGAGCCAUGCUUUCUAGGCACUGCACACACGGAAGUGUGAGUGCAUAAAGUUGACCUGAUGACUUGUUCUCUCCUGGAAGUUUAGGGUCCAUAAUUGCACAGGAGCCUACUCAAGUCCAGCAAGCUUCCCACUUUAGAUAUUCAGUCCCCAACAUGGAUGCUGCUGCUGCAGGAAUGGCAAUGGGGACAUUCAGAAAGGAGAAAGGACAGUUAACUCUCCCACACUCUCCCCUUCACAUGAUGGUAAUAACAUUGCUUUCUGCACAUACCUGCAAACGUGUUUGCCAUCAUCACACAAUACAUUUUUAGGUGUUGGCUUAGAUUUAUCAUGUGACAUUUAUUGUUGUUGUUUAGUCAUUUAGUUGUGUCCGACUCUUUGUGACCCCAUGGACCAGAGCACGCCAGGCACUCCUGUCUUCCACGGCCUCCCGCAGUUUGGUCAAACUCAUGUUUGUAGCUUCGAGAACACUGUCCAACCAUCUCGUCCUCUGUCGUCCCCUUCUCCUUGUUCCCUCAAUCUUUCCCAACAUUAGGGUCUUUUCCAGGGAGUCUUCUCUUCUCAUGAGGUGGCCAAAGUAUUGGAGCCUCCUUCCAGUGAGCACUCAGGGCUGAUUUCCUUAAGAAUGGAUAGGUUUGAUCUUCUUGCAGUCCAUGGGACUCUCAAGAGUCUCCUCCUGCAGCAUAAUUCAAAAGCAUCAAUUCUUCGGCGAUCAGCCUUCUUUAUGGUCCAGCUCUCACUUCCAUACAUCACUACUGGGAAAACCAUGGUUUUAACUAUACGGACCUUUGUUGGCAAGGUGAUGUCUCUGCUUUUUAAGAUGCUGUCUAGGUUUGUCAUCGCCUUUCUCCCAAGGAGCAGGCGUCUUUUAAUUUUGUGAUGGCUGUCACCAUCUGCAGUGAUCAUGGAGCCCAAGAAAGUAAAAUCUCUCACUGCCUCCAUUUCUUCCCCUUCUGUUUGCCAGGAGGUGAUGGGCCCAGUGGCCAUGAUCUUCAUUUUUUUGAUGUUGAGCUUCAGACCAUAUUUUGCACUCUCCUCUUUCACCCUCAUUAAAAGGUUCUUUAAUUCUUCCUCACCUUCUGCCAUCAAGGUUGUGUCAUCUGCUUAUCUGAGGUUGUUGAUAUUUCUUCCGGCAAUCUUAAUUCUGGCUUGGGAUUCAUCCAGCCCAGCCCUUCGCAUGAUGAAUUCUGCAUAUAAGUUAAAUAAGCAGGGGGACAAUAUACAGCCUUGCCGUACUCCUUUCCCAAUUUUGAACCAGUCAGUUGUUCCAUAUCCAGUUCUAACUGUAGCUUCUUGUCCCACAUAGAGAUUUCUCAGGAGACAGAUGAGGUGAUCAGGCACUCCCAUUUCUUUAAGAACUUGCCAUAGUGACAUUUAUAUAUAUGUGCAGAAUCUGUAACAGGGAAUGGUAGUGAGUUCUGUCCAACUGGAUGUUGCUAUUAAUGUACACUGCACAAGAAGGAAGUAAGGUAGAUUUCUUUGUUGGCCACACCUUUUUAUGAUUAAAUGGGCUCCGACUCAGCCUGAUAAACAUAACAAAUCUUCUCCUGCUAAGAAAACAUUCACUUAGAAGGCUGUAAAAAUGCAAGGUUGUUAGUUCUCCUUGUUUAAUGUCAUUGUUUCUUUGAAACUACAUGAGAACAUAUUUUGUUGAUAGGUUAUAAACAAGAGAAAAAUAGCUCCAUUUAGACUGGAGCUAUUAGAUUUAUAACAGCUGUAAAGCAUUAAAGCACAUCUCAAUGUGUGCAUAAUAGGAGCAUUUAUUUUGCAGAUGGUAAGAAGAUGAACUUCAGGACCAAGAUCUUGGCACCCACAGUCAUUGUGAAGAGUAUAUAAAGCAGUGAUGGAAGUUUUUGGCUUUUUUGCCAUACAUCUGAAUAAUUUAAUUAAGUAAUGCUACUGAGAUUUGGGACAUCAGUAAAGGGUGGUAUUUAGCUUUUAUAUGUGUGCCAUUAUUUCAGUAUCCCAGACUAAGAAUGUAGUGAUGAAAUAAUACCUUGUGGAUAUACUUACUCACUAUUAUAUAUUCACUGAACUAUUAAUCACAGACUUCAACUUCUGUCUUCUUUUAUUUAUAAUAAUUUGUUGCAGCUGGCAUUGCUAUAGCUCAUGAACAAUAGGAUAUAUUAGCAAUGAUUAACUCCUGUGUGGCCAUUCAGUAGCAAGUUGGUCAGCUCAGGUAAUGAACAAUUUCACUGGAAGAAUUAAUCCUUGUCAAACUGUAUGUGUGGGACUUUUCAAUCUUGAUUGAAUUGGGUUUUGGAACAACAACUGGGCUUGUCCAGGCAUUCCUGUGCAGCACCCAUUCAUUUUAAUGGGGUUUCUGCAUGUAAACUUCACUUCAUUGUGUCCUGGGUCAUCUUUGUGUAUCUUCCACUCUGGUUAAUGACACCAAAAUUCUGCCAUUGGUGACUUUAACUUCUGCAUCCCAGGAGACAAUGAUACAUGUACAGUGAGUUAAGUAGAUUACAAUUAUCCUUCUCUUCAAACCACUCAUUGCCAAACUGUGCCACUGACUCCUACUCCUUGCUGCAAAUUGGCCUUCCACAGCCUCCUCUAGCCCUCUUUGCCUGGGACUUUCUCCCUUCCCCAGCCUCAUCCCCUCUUCCGAGGCCACAACACUCACCAGCUCUGUUUCACGCCCUCCUUGGAAGUUUAUUUUGCCUGGCUGGAAUGUGUAUUUGCACACUGAUAAUGCUUCCUACAUGCCUAGAUAGAGGAUAGACAUGGGUGUGUGGGUACAUGUAAAGUUAGUCUACUGUGCAAAGGUAAAUUUCACAUUCAUUGCCCUGCCCACUGUUGCCACUGGCAUGUGACCUCUUCAAGACUGUCCAGAAGUGAAUGUUGCCCUCAGGCUGAAAGAGAUUCCUAACCCUUGAUACAGGCCCUCAUAUUGUGUCUAUAUGCAUUCUUCUCCUUGAUUAAUAAUUUCAGGAAGGAAAUAGUCACAACAGUGAAUAAUUUGCACAGGGGGGGGUAUCAUUUUGAGAGGAGAAAUAUAUUUCAGAAGAUGUAAUAUUGUAUUAGUUUCAUUAAUUUUUAGGGGUUGAUUAUACCCCAUCACUGGGGGCAGGCGAAUGGAAUUCCCAGAGCAGCUUACAAAAUUUCAAAACACAAUAAAACAAGUAAAAAGCAUACAAAAAAUUUGCCAAAACUGAGAAAUCCGCUUCCCUGCAACCACAUGCCAAAGCUCUGGUGUCAGUGGAUCCUGGAAGAGGGCCACAGAUGAAGAUUUUAGCACAACAACAGACACAUGUAGAGACAGGCCUUUAAGGAUCUCCUAUGUAAAUAGUUUGGCUCUUAUGCUGAGGCCCCUUAAGAGACUAACCAGUCUAUGAUGGCAGGAAUUCCAAAAUUAUUCUGUUCUGUUUAUAGAAUUAACCAAAGUAAAUUAAGAUAAAUGGUGUAUUUGGAUUAAAGAUAAAGGCUUCAUAUUGUCUGAGGGCAAGUGUAUUGAUGGAAGAAUGAGCAUACCAUGUAGACUCAUAGACGCCCUGAAACAAGGGGCUAAUUCAUUCUAAGAACAUGAGGGAACCAGGCUCAAAAGAUGUGGGAAAGAGGUAUCUGUUGUGCUGUCCUGGGCAAGGAAAAUAAGUGCAGCUUUUGGGAUAUAGAGCGGAGUCUCAGUUUUCACUUGGCUCAAGGUGUGUGUGAGAGAGUUUAAGAAAUUCUACUACAUUCUAAACAGUUCUAGACUCCACCCUCUUGCUUUCUCAAGUGAUUUCUUUCUGGAGUUGCUCCUAUCUAGUCAGCUGCUAACAUUCAAAAGAACUGUCUUUGGUGUUCUCAUGUCAUCAGGCAAGUAGAGGUGAUAAUGAUGGAUACCCUGAAGUUUUGAGUUUUCAGGUUGUUUAAAAAAAGAGUUAUACAUACCUCAUGAGUUGUACAUUUUGAUUGCUUUAAUUAGCCGACAAUGUUGCAUUUUGUCAAAUGUCUUAAAUGUUUGACUUCUGGGUUUGUGGCGUUCAGGAGCCUAUUUGUUUGACAACUAAGCCUUUCAAGAACCAAAAUAUCUCUCUCUCUCGCUCUUUGUGUGGGUGGGUGGGUGGGUGUAAAAACAUUUAUACAUACAGCCAUACAAUAAAAGCCAUAUACAAAAUUGAAAUCAGCUAUUAUGGAAAACUGUGUUCUUAAUUACCUGUAUAAGCCUGAAGGGAUCAAAGAGUUUUCAGCAGGCGCAUAAAAGUUGAAACAGAAGGCGCCUUUGAAGCCGUGUUACGUAAAUCACAAAAAAUAGAUUGGAACAUUAUUGAUAUGUAGAAUGGGUUUGUAUCCUGCCACUUCCAGUGACUGUCUCUCAGAACUGCUGACAAGUACUUUUUAUUUAAAAAAUAAAAAUCAUAAAAUACCCAUACUGUCUAUAUAAGAACAACAUAAAGCACAGCACAAACUACUGCCAGCAAAACAAAAAUAGUCAGGUUAAAAUGAUUUAUUGAACCAAAAAUAUAAAAAGCCUGAGUAAAAUUGGAAAAGGUAUUUGCCCCCCCCUCACUGAAGUUGGUGCCGGAGAGUGCAUUCCAAAGUUUGGGGCCACCACCAAGAAAGCAUUGUUUUGGAUUGCCGCCCACCCACCUCAACUCUGAGGCAGGGCCCCUGAGGCAGAUCUGUGUAGUGAAGCAGGUUUUUGAUGAAACAGGUGGUAAUUUUGUGUGCCAUGUCCAGUACUUUUUUUAUGGGGGUAUGAGGGUACUCAAGAGUAUGCAGUACCAGCACCUUUCUUUCUGGAAGAAAAGCACUGGCAAUAUCCAUUUCACACUUCUUUGCAAUCCAUUAGUAAUUGUGCAGGGCAACAGCGAAAGCUCAUAGUGCUGAAUAAAAGCACCAUUAACUUUUCAUAAAUUCACUGGUGUGCAUUGUGAUGAAGGAAAUAUUAGCUGAUAUGGCUGAUCAAUAUCUCUAGAUUGCAAUCUUGCCUGAAUUCAGUGUAGCUUGGGUUGGGUGUCUAGCUGAAAGAAGAACUGCAGCCUUACUACAAGAGAAAAAAAAUAUUUUCUUUUAAAAAUACUUCUGUCUUUAUGAUCACUUGUCUAUAUACUGUGUUACACUGUUGUUCUAGGAAUUUCUACCUGUGGAGCACAUGAAAGGAAUUUUUUUUGGGGGGGGGGAGGGGGGAGAUUGCAAAACAAGCCACUUAAUUUUUUUAAAAAACCUGCCCUAUACCUGUUGAAUUUGUCUGCAAAUUCAACAUAUUAAAUUCAUCGUUGAGACUAGUGAAAGACUGCAGCUCUGUGAUAGAAUGUCUACCUUGCAUGCAGAAGGUCUCAGGUUCAAUCCGUAGCAUCGCCAGGUAAGACUGGGAAAUACUUCAGCCUGAAACCCUGGAAUGUUUCUGCCUGUCGGUUCAGACAUUACUGAGGUAGAUGGUGUGACUCUGCAUAAGGCAGCUUUUUAUGAUCCUAAGACUAUAGAAAGGAAGCAUUUUAAAGUAUGAUAAUGAGUCUAUUAUCAACUUCUAACUUUAAAAGUAUUUAUACACUUCUUAACAAAGGAGUGUUCUGGGUUUCAGUUAGCGAAAUGUAUGAAAAAAGCAAUCAGUUAAUAACUUAAGUUAUGACAGAUUGAGUAAAAAAAGUGGGCAGUGUAAUUUUCCUGUAUUUACCAGAUGGCCAUGUUCCUGAUGCUGGCAGAUAGGUUGGAUUUUCUCUCUCUUUUUCAAAUCCUCUAUUUAUAUAGUUCCAAACAAAACACACAAAGUUGAUAAUUCAAUAGGAAUGUGAAUUUAUGUUCAGAAAGGGAACCAAAGAGCAUCAUACCAGUUUGCUUACCCCAGAAUUAGUUUUGCCCUCCCAAAUAGGUGUGUGUAGUGCAACAUGCCUACUCAGAAGUAAGACUCAUUUAGUUCAGUAGGACUACCUACAUUCCACCAAAAUGUAUAUAGGAUUGCAGCCAAAGUUGCUCUAGGGGAUCUUCCAGGGCAGGUUGGCAGGGUAAAUGUUUUAAAUGCAAACUACUGUGAAGAACAUCCAAGAAGCAGCACUGGAGAGCCAAAGAAAGAAACAUGGGAUGCAAGGUAAAAGGAACAUGGAAGGAAUAUGAUUUUACCCCCAUAAGAGUAGGCAGCUUUGUACAUUUAUUAUUGCUCCUCUUUCCCGCAGAAUUUUUCCAGGAACACGUUGAUAAUAGGUGCUGGAUUAUCAUCUUUUACUAAAUCGAUUGCUUGCCAAUAAUCAGUUGAUGUUCCCCGAAGAAUGGGAGCUUGUAACUGGAAAUUCACUUGUGCUACCACCCCCAGCUUUUGGAACGUACUGCUCUUCAUUUAGCGGGAGGGACAACUUUCAAAGAUUGCUUAGCAAUUUGCUCAGUUUUUUGGGGGGGCACACCCCAGAAUUCAUUGGCCACAACCAAGUGGUGGUUAAGAGGUUUCUGGGUAUAUUCAAGGAAGUACAAUAAAUUACUGCAGGAGACUGGACCCAUAUUAAAUAACAUCUAUCUUCCUACCUACCUACAGCUAUGCAACUUUGGCUCAUAUUAUCUUUUCAUCCUGCCUUACAGCAGAUUUCAAUAGUAAAUCACAUAAUGAUCACAGCAUAAAAAGAGUUCUUAAAGUUGUAGAAAAUGUGCCUUACAUCAAACCACUUUGUGACACAUUUCAGACUCCAGCACUGGAAGAAAAUGAGGAUGACACACUUCGUCAAUGUUUAGUCCCAUCUGCUAGUCCUCCUACUCUACUUCACAAAACUGUAGCAAUUUCAUAUGCCCCACGGAUAGACCACUGUCACGAAUCUUACAGAACUAGCCAUCGUGAUCUAAGUUAUUUGAAGGAUAUGACGCAGGGGUAGGCAACCUAAGGCCCAUGGGCCACAAGUGGCCCACGGAGUCGUUUAACUAGCCCACGAGCUGCCCCCAAAUCAAGCCACCCACUCGGAGAGUCCCUGCAUGCUGUGCUAAAGUGGCGCAGCACGGCACGGGUACUUGUUUCCGUGGUGCCAGAAAUCGCAACUUUGCAGAUGCAGAUGCCGGAAAUUGUGGUCGCAUGAGCUCAUGCAUGUGAGCGAUCUGGCCCAUGGAGGGAUCUCCCCUGGAGUGAACCGGCCCAGGCAAGGUAAACCUUGCUGACCCCUGAUAUAUUGUAAAAGAAAGAUGCCUUUAUAGACUAAUAGUCCCUUCUCCCUCUCUUUUAUUUGUCCAGUACUGUUGAACAUAGUAGUUGAGGCGAACUCACUUCCGUUCACUGCAUGAAUUGAAGACUUUGUUAAAGUAGAUAAUUAAAGUAGUGAAAUAAAUAAAGUAGAUAGAUAGAUACAGUGGUACCUCAGGUUAAGAACGUAAUUUGUUCUGGAGGUCCAUUCUUAACCUGAAACUGUUCUUAACCUGAGGUACCACUUUAGCUAAUGGGACCUGCCGCUGCGCCACCGCCACACGAUUUGUUCUCAUCCUGAAGCAAAGUUCUUAACCCAAGGUACUAUUUCUGGGUUAGGGGAGUCUGUAACCUGAAGCAUCUGUAACCUGAAGCAUCUGUAACCCGUGGUACCACUGUAGAUGGAUAGAUGAUGGAUGUCUCCCAGAUCUAGUUACAUAGUUAGCCCAACACACACAUGAGAAAACAUGCUCAAGCUACUGCAUGAGUGCGCUUCUCCAAUCAAGUCACAGUAACAUUUUUCAUUGAAGUCAAAGGGGAACACCUUUCAUCAGAUCUCCUGUGGGUACAAGGUUCCAUACUAGGUCAUGCAGGGCAGUACCAGGGACAGCUCCCAGUGCAAAUUCCAGGAAGCAAUGAAUGUUGCUUCCUGAUUUUUCUGAGCUAGUUGAAUAGUGAUGCAACUCCUGCUGGUUCCCCUAGCUCUCCCCAAGACUUUAAAGUGGCAAAACUCUGACUUGGAGAUUGGCCCUCAAAUGUCUCCUGCUGCACCCUCUGACUUCUUUGUCAGCAGCUUUUAGGGGUGUGAUUCCGUUUUAUACAUCAUAAACUACUGUUCCUUUGUAACUUCUGCACAUGUCAUGGAGUACAUCUGACUGCACCUUAUCUAAGACUACAAUUCCUUAAGGUUAUUAUAAUGAAUCACCACAUUUAGAUUCUUUAAGAUGUAACAGGACAUGGAACUCAGAAUCUGACUGUGCAAUUGAGUCUUCACAUUAGAAUAAGGUAUUGAGAGAAAUUCUGUACUGACUGGUGCAAAAUUCUUGCAUGUAUCUAUUGCUUCCUCCACAGCUCUUUUUAAAGCUAUUUUCCCCCUCUACUAGUUCAAAUUGAUUUCACUCAGAUAUUAUGAGGAAAAUUUGAUCAGAAGUGGCUAAGGAAAUUAACUGAUUUCAUCUUAAAAACCCCUUUUUGCAAUUAAUUUGGAAAUAGCAAAUGUAAUAAUUGGCACAGAUCCUUAUCUCCCCAUCUCUCCCAAUUGACAUUUUGCUUUGAAGCACCAAUGGUCUGGACUACAAAGUGCAGUGUUGGGCUGUUUGAAAGCCCUUUUGCAAACACCCCAACACUGGUCUUUAAACCUCCAGUUUUGAGGCCCACACUGCUCUUUGAAUCCUCUGAAAACCCAUGGUUUAGAGAGCAGCACAGAGAUGUUUAUAAAAGGGCUUUCAAAUAGCCCUACACUAAACUUCGGCUGUGUGCAGUCAAACCAAGCAGAAUUUAGCCACCACCCAUUGAUUAUUAAACAUAUACAGUAAACAGUCUUAAGUCUGAAAGAUACAUGACUGCUGCUUCUGAUCAAUCACCAGCAGGCUUUAAGGAAUGUUCAAGAGCAAUGCCCACCUGAACAAUGUUUCCUUUUAUUUGUACUGACAUUUCAGAGUACAAAUUCUCCUUCAUAAUGUAACUUAAACCAUAUCUUUUUAAUGCAAUAUGAUUGUGUGUAAUCAUAAUGCCCUGACUUUGACAUAAAAAACAUAGCAAGCAUUCUUCUUUUUCAUGACUUUCUACAAUCCAUAUAGCUCGUAACAGGCUCAGCCCUCUGCUUUUAAUUACAGAAUGGUCUGCAUGUUCUUCUUUUGGCACAAAUUAUAAUCUGUUUUAUGUCAUAAUUUAGCUUGUAUAAACCACUGUGCAUUUUCAACUUAUUUUUGUUACUUUAAAAUAAACCAAGCACACUGUACAUAUUAUUAUUAUUUUUGGACAAGGUGUCUGGUUUUCUCACUGUUUACAUUAAAUAAUCUAAUGUGCUUUUUAUUUUAUUUUAAUCCAGUGCUUUUUUAAAAAAAAUAAAAUAUAAGGGAAAUGUCUUCACUUUUUAAAAACUCAUCAUUUCCCAAGAAACAAGGAGGAUCCUUAAACCCCUGCUGAAAUCUUUGUAUUUCAUUACACAAACAAACACUUUAGUCUAUGGUGGUAUGUUCAGUGUUAAGAAUGGUUGCCCUGGGUCAUAGAGCUUUGAAAUAUAGAGUGAACAGCACGGAGGCCAUCUUCCAAUGUUAGGUUUAGCCCUCAAGUCAACUGGGGCUGGGAGUGAUAUUCUUCUCUCGUUCUUAUCACAGAGCCCUGAGAAGAAUUUAUGCCACUAGUUUGUGGUGAUGAUCUCCUGACAACUCAGCAGAGAGAGGCCUACUCUCAGUGCAUAAUAAUCAUGGGGCACUUGAGUCUAACAAGCUGUAUCGGAAGGAACUUUGCCAGUUGCCAGAAUCACAGCCAGCCAGUUGUAAAGUAUGUCUCACGGUUGAGGUCCAACCUUGCAUCUGCUACAUUUCAUUUUCACGAAGUUCAUUUCACAAGCUGUGAAGUUAGCUAGCCAGGCAGGGUUGGAGAGCAAAGGACUGCAAGAAGUCAGCUGUUUAAUUAAGUUGAAUUGCUCCAAUUAAUCAGAGGCACUUUCCCUGAGCAAUCAAAAUCUUUGUAAGCAAGGUGGUACUCUAUAUUGUACACAGUAGGAUGAGCUUAGCUAUAAUAACACACCAGAAUGAUCAAGCAGCAGUUGAUCAAGUGGCACAAGGGUGCCUCGGACGUCACUGCUGGAAGGACUGUUUGGCUAGCUUUCCCUGGCACUGACAUGGCCUACUAACUUCAACAAAGGCAGGCAGCCAGGAACUGCUGACUUGCAUGGUACUAACCAAAGAGCCCCCUGCCUCCAUUGCCACCCCCCUGUGGUACCAGUAAGGGUAGGGUUUUCUCAAUCAUUCUGCAGCAGUGAUAGGUGGUUUCCACUAAUGGUUUCUACUAGUGGGGCCCUGUCAUUGGCUGCUGGAUCAUUUACCUCAAAGGCUGCAUUUGCAUGUCACAGUAAGCCAUGGCUAGUGGCUGAUCAGGAAAAUGCAGAGUAUUCCUCCUUGCUAGUAAAUGGAAGCAACAGUGAUCCUUGGGUUUUGCUGCAAGGGCAUUAGAAAAGGAAUGAAAUGUUAAACUUUUGGGUAAAGAAGAUAAGAUGGUCUUUUUUGGAAAAAAAAAUAUGGAAAUUGAAAAGGAGAAGGCAAUAAAAUUUGCUCAGGAAGCAGAAGAAUCUGUAAAAAUUGCAAACAGGGACAAGCUCCAUUCAAGCUUCAUCCAUGAUUUGUUGUACUACAAACCAUGAUCAGCAAGUCAAUGCUUGUUCUUGACUUACAAAUCAUGGUUUGUUUGAGUGAAACAAACCAUAAUUCCAGAUUGGGGCAGAAUGCCAUGCCAAGAAACAUGAUUUGUUGUUUCUGUCUACUAGUGGGAAGAAGCAAAUUGAGAGAUAUGUACAUAUAUGUUCACAGUAAGCUAUUGACUGUGGCUUAAUGUGAUGUGUAAAAGCAAAGUAAAAGAAGGCAGAUUUCAUCUCUGAGGGUGGGGUACUAGAAUGAAUUGCUUUGCACAGUUAAAAAGAGGACACAGUAAUAAAUAAAUCAAAAUAUUUCUUUUUUAUAGUUUAAUUUAUAAGUCUCUGGGGCCAGGGUUUACAUUUUUUAUAGAAACAUGUUCUAGUUUUAAUAGUAAAUGUCGGAACUGAGGAGCCUUUUGCCUUUAGCUAUAAAGCAAAAGAAUUUGUGCUUUUUUUGUAGGUACAGUACAAACUGAUCUCAGAGUCUACAGCCAUUCCACAAUAGGAUGAAUGAACUCAAGGACAUGCUUUCUUAGGGGGUCUCAUAAAGGGCAGUUUUCCAUGCUGUUAACAUCUUACUUUAGCUCAGGAAGGGAUCCUUUGGCUUUAAUACGGGCACGGAACAGUGUUUUUUGUCUGUCAAGUAUAGAGCAUCAUGCAAGAGUGAUAAAAAUGGCAUGCACAGAAAUUAGUUCCUUUUUAAAAGCUGGCUUGCCUUGUUUUCCUUUGCACAUAAUCCUAGUAGCAUCUGCCUUGCUCAUGUUUCCACUGUGGACCUCAGUGCUUGAACAAUCUUGCCACCCCCAAAACUAGAUCAAUGUAGCCCAGAAAAGGUAUGGCAUGAAGAUCCAAGUGUGCCCUAGCUCUUACCCAGGGAAGGGCUACAGCUCAGUUGUAGUGCAAAUUAUUUUCAUGCAAAAAGAUCCAUGUUCAGUCCCUGGCAUAUCCAGGUAGGGCUGGAAAAAACCUUUGUCCGCAGCCCUGGGGACUCACUGUGAACAUUGUAUAGAUAAUACUGUGCUACAUGGGCCAUGCUGUGAAUUGGUAUUAGGACAGUCAGCUUCCUAUGCUUCACCUCUUCAAUGAAGGUCAAGAUUUCGCAUAAUAAAACCAGGGCAUGGAGCAUAAACAGUGAUGGAUCGUGGGAUGUAUGUGACCUCUUCUCUCACAAAUAUCUGCAGUAGAUUGUAUGGAAAAACUGUUGCUCUGGAGGAUUAGUGUGUGGCUACUGGAGUGUUGAUGUCUCAGUAUAUGGGAAUUUUUAUUAGCUGCUGAGAACCUAUACUUGUCCUGAUGUUUAUGGCUGCUGAUGAUUUUGGAAAUAAUCCCUAUUGGGAAUCUGACUGGAAAUGCACUAAACUGACCCUCCAUAGUGGUUUUGGGGAGCUACAGGGGGUGUGCUGAGUAGAAGAUGUGGGUGGGGCGCCCUGUAGGCUUCCACUAGCACACAGAGUCCGUUGAACCUUGGGUUUUUUAAAAUGCUUUUGUCCCAAACUGACUUAAUGCAGGAUGGAAUUUUUGUUCACAGAUAAGAGUAGUCUUGUAAAAAUUUAAUGGUGAUGCGGUCAGGAAUUAAAGGUUUGCUUUCAACAAAUCAAUAACAUUCUGAUGGCUUUAUCUAUGGUUUGAUAAUCCUGACCAAACAUAGGUCUCUGUCUAUACCAGGGAUGGCCAAUAUUAUACCCUCCAGAUGUUGUUAGAGUAGAACUACCAUCAUCGCUGGCCUUGCUAGUUGGAGUCAGUGUGAGAUGAAAUUCACAGCAUCUGAAAGUCGCCACAAUGGCUUCCCCUGAUAUAUAUUGUGUAUCACUGACUGUCACUUAGUUUAAGGUCGAAAUGAGCCUGAUAUGUAAAAUAUUGUAAGCAGAUAUUUUACCCCUGUAAAACCUCUGUAGGGUUUACCAUACCAGUAUUUUCCAUUCUUGGAAAUGUCAGGCUAUUAGAGCUGGUUUUCUUCAUUUAUGGUGGAGCUGCACAAAAUAUUGGAAGACCAUUUUGGAAGCAAUUCAGCUGAUUUUUGGCUAUACUGUACAAGAACUCAACACAUUGACACUUUAAACAGUCAAGGCUUCCUCCAAAUAAUCCUGGGAACUGCAGUUUGCUAAGAGGGUGUUAGGAGAACCCUAUUCCUCUCACAAAGCCACAAUUCCCAGCAACCAAUACCUCUUACCAGAGAACUCUGGGAACUGUAGCUCUGGGAUGGGAAUAGGGGUUUCCUAACACCUCUCAGUAGUGCCCUUAGCAAACUACAAGUCCCAGGAUUCUUUGGGAGAAGAAUCCUAGCAUGAUUUAUACUGGCAUGAUUCUGCUUCAAAUGUAUAGCGCAGAUGGGACUUUGCCAACCAACCUAGUCCCCUCUAACCAUGCUGACUGGAGCUGAUGGAAGCUGUAGUCCAAACUAUCUGAAGGGUUUGGGUUGGCAAAGGCUAUUAUAAGGUUGCCCUCUCCUUCUCUUGAAUAUACACGCAUUUAUUGCACAUGCGCAUUUAGUUCCCCUUGUCAUGAGGUUUCUCUAUUAUGGAAGAGCAACUUCUCUGUUAGUGCCAGUGCUUGUUUGCAUCUUUCAUUUUUGUCCUUUGGUGGUACAACUAUUAUGUCUGCUUCUUUACCAAGUUUGUUUUUGCUCCUGCUUACCUGAUCUGGAUAAACCUCUGAAAGUUGGUUUCCUACAGAGGGAAAAGUAAUAGUGGCCCAGGCGACCUAGUUAAAAAUCUGCUUAUACAAAAAAACUCCACCCAUGUUGAGAAUGAACGGUAGGGGGGAACAGCAAACAAAGGCAUUGCUAGUCCCCAGGCAAAAAUCAAGGCCCCAAAGUCCAAUGAACUUAGAACAUUGCAGGCUGCUUCUGCCAAGCAUGGGACUCUGAACAGAGCAAGCUACUUCCUUCCAGCACUCAGCACAGCCAGUUCCAAGCUAUAUCCUUUAUUCCCAGCCUCUCUGUCUGAUUUCUAUGUAAACCGUAUUCAUUCCAUAUGGCUGCCCAGUAGUCCCUAGGAGGCUUCCUUGCAUCGGAGAAAUUGGCACACGAUCAACUUAAAUUUCCCCAGCACUACUUCUUCGCAAUCAGUGGGUCAUGAUUCUGUGAUCUAGUGAAUCCCUUUUUUGUUGUGAGAGCUUGAGUGAGCACAGAGGGCCCAUUCACCAGCAAGGGAUUCACAUUCACUGGAACGGAGGAGGCUGCUCUGGGUAUGCUCAAAGACGAUUCCCCAUUCAGCUCAAUUAGGCAUGCUCCCUUGGACUGGGCACAUCCUGUAUGCGCAUCAGGGCACACACAGAAAGCUCUGGAUCAGGUGUGCAUUGUUCUAGCCUAGGAAGCUGCCACAGCAGGUUUAAUUGCCAAUCUAGCUCAGUACCAUCUUCUCUGAGGCUACUUCCACCCAGCCAUUUACUGUGGAAUAGCAACGCCUGCUUUGGUUUGCCCACUUUUUACGAAGCAACUUUAUGGUGUCAUGAACAAGCCAUCUGCCAGCUUUUUUUCAAAGCUCAGAAAAUCUGACUUUUAGAAAUUCGGUGGAAUUGUGCUGCUAUUCUGGCUGCUUAUGUCCUGUACAGAUGGCUGUUUCUUAGACUGCUCUAGCCUUUUCCCUCUCUGUGGUCUGUCUCUCCACUCUAGCUUUCAGCCUUGUUACUUUAGCCCUUUCCUUUCCAAAUAGUGUGCUUUUAUAUCUGUCCGCCGCCCCCGCCCCCAAUGCAGCAGGGGGAGUUCGUGAUUGGGAGUACAACAGAGUAUUUAGCCCUUUUCCCUGCAUGCAAUGGCCCCAAUGAAUACUGUCCUCCUCCCAAAUAUUUGAAGCUGAGGAAAGGGAGACUGCCCAUGUAGAUACUGAGGGUUAGAAGUCUGAAAGCAUGAGGUGCUUUCAGGUUAAAGCAGAACAGCAAUGAUGUGGUUCUACUAAAUCAUGCAUGUCUGGAAUAAUAAUAAUAAUAAUAAUAAUAAUAAUAAUAAUAAUAAUAAUUUAUACCCCGCCCAUCUGGCUGAGUUUCCCCAGUCACUCUGGGCAGCUCCCAAUCGAGUUAAAAACAAUACAGCAUUAAAUAUUAAAAACUUCCUGAAACAGGGCUGCCUUCAGAUGCCUUUUAAAAAUAGGAUAGCUGCUUAGUUCCUUGACAUCUGAUGGGAGUGCAUUCCACAGGGCUGCACCACUACCAAGAAGGCCCUCUGUCUGGUUUCCUGUAACCUCACUUCUCGCAAUGAGGGAAUCGCCAGAAGGCCCUUGGCACUGGAUCUCAGUAUCUGGGCUGAACGAUGGGGGUGGAGACGCUCCUUCAGGUAUACAGGACCGAGGUUGUUUAGGGCUUUAAAGGUAAGCACCAACACUUUGAAUUGUGCUUGGAAAUGUACUGGGAGCCAAUGCAGAUCUCUCAGGGCUGGUGUUAUGUGGUCUUGGUGGCCACUCCCAGUCCCCAGUCUAGCUGUCGCAUUCUGGAUUAAUCACAGUUUCUGGGUCACCUUCAAGGUAGCCCCACAUAGAGUGCAUUGCAAUAGUCCCAGCAAGAGAUAACUAGAGCAUGCACCACUCUGGCAAGACAGUCCACGGGCAGGUAGGGUUUCAGCCUGUGUACCAGAUGGAGCUGGUGGACAGCUGCCCUGGACGCAGAAUUAACCUGUGCCUCCAUGGACAGCUGUGAGUCCAAGAUGACUCCAAGGCUGCGCACCUGGUCCUUCAGGGGCACAGUUACCCCAUUCAAGACCAGGGAGUCCCCCACAACCACCCGCCCCUGUCCCCCCAAAACAGUACUUCUGUCUUGUCAGGAUUCAACCGCAAUCUGUCCUGCAGGGUUUCUGACAAAAGUCUUUCCCUGCUACCUGAUCCUUUUAUCUGGAGAUGCCAGAGUCUGCACCCAGGACAGUAUUCAUGCAAAACAUGAGCUUUACUCCAGAGCUUUCAUACUUUGUCUGCAUUUCCUUUUUACUUGCAGAUAACUUUCUUUCCUCCCUUCUUCCCAAAUCAGUAGGCCUUGCUUCCCCCAGAUAAUCUAGUAAAACCACCUGAAACUCUACCAUGUGGCAACCACCACUGGAGAGUUUAAUGCCGUUUUGUUUAUUAUUGACAAACACUUCCUUCUACAUUUCUAAUACUUACUGGCAGGUGACAAGAUGCCACUUCACAGAGUCACUAAUUUCCUACCACUUCAGAUUUGUUUGAUAGCCAGAAGAGAAACAGCCAGUGUUGCUCCUUCAGUUUGUCAUUUCCAGUGUAGUAAAUGCUUUUUCAGCUUGUUGUUUCUGGUGAAUCUCUUGUCCACAGUCCCGACAUGCAGUAUUUAGUGCAGGAAGCUAAUCAAAACAAUUUGUGCAGUCCUUUAAAUCUUCAGCAUCAAAAGACAGUUGCAGUAAGAGCUUUGCAAAAGGGUGCAAAUCAAAUCUGAAAGCAAGUUCUUGAUGACAAAAAAGGGAGGAAUGAUGGGGAAAAGGUGCACAAUUUCACUGAGAUCUCUGAUGAAACUGGAGAACCAUGAUACAAUAUAUGAUCCAGAAAGGUGGUAUGUUAACUGGGAUCAUCAAAAAAAGAUUUGUGGCUGACAUAUAGUGGAGGAUUUAAUGCUAAUCUUGUUGGCAAUAUAUUCAAAAAGCUAUCUGCAUCUAGUCAUUGCAUAGAUCAGGUCACCUGCCACGACUUUUGUUUUUCUGACUGCACUCACCAGCCCAGCUCCAGCUGGAAAGCAUGACCAUGUAUAAUUGCAACCACUCUUGCAAUGCUUACUACAAAAGCUGAAGUGACCCAUUGGCGUACUAAUGUUUAGCAUGCUGCUUGUCAAAUGCCAGCUGUAGUGUUGGCCUGAUUUUAGCUAAUUGCCUACAGCCGUGGGUACUCAGGAUUGUCAGUCUGGCCAGCCUCAGCUUUCAUAUCCAACCCUAUAUCUCCCUGAUUCUAGUAGCUGUGACCAAACAGCCCCAGCUCCAGUCACCAUGCAUCCUAGCUAUUGAUUGAUUUAUCAGCCUAUUGGCCAUUUACAAAAUAAAAACAAUAAAAUCAAUCUGAUAAGAGUAGUGUCACAGGAAGCACAUAUUUUUCCUGAUCUAACACUCUGAAAGUCACACAGUCCAAAACAUCUGCUCAGGAUUUUUCAACCUUGGGUCCCCAGAUUUUGUUGGACUACAACUCCCACCAUCUCUAGCUAGCAGGCCCAGUGAUCAGAGAUGAUGUGAGUUGUAGUCCAACAACAUCUAGGGACCCAAGGUAGAGAACGGCAGAUCACGGGCCACCAGGUCAGAGAAGGCUGCACUCGAGUCUCAGACUCACUCCAUCGCAUCUUUUCAGAGUCUACCACAUGCGCUUUGAUCUGGAAAUUCCUCCACGGGGAACUAGGGGAAUGAACAACCUGCCUUCAUGCCUUGGGGCCAGAGAACCACCACAAGCUGCUUUCUGUCCACAGCUAUAGCAACUCAGCAAAGCAUAGCGAGCAGCACUACUCCAGCUCUGAUUUUCACUGGCAUCUGAACCAAGUUCUGUCUCAUUCCACAGCACCCCAUCUAUGAAGUCUAUAGGACUUUAAGUGAUGUGGGAAAGAACAAAACGUAAGAAGGAAUUAUGAUUAGAAUUAGAUUUAAAACAUACUAACAUUUCCGCUCUUCUCUCUCUUUUUAAUUAAUUAGCCUCCAGCAAAGAUUCCCAUUCCCAUUCCCAGAUAUAAUCCUUGCUAUACAAUGAAGAUGCU
Podarcis lilfordi (Lilford's wall lizard) is the source of this 23860-nucleotide non-coding RNA. Lineage: Eukaryota; Metazoa; Chordata; Lepidosauria; Squamata; Lacertidae. The record is from the annotation of a GenBank genome assembly.